AUUAAUAUCUUUAAAUAGAUUUACUAUAGUGCAAAAGUUAAAGUUUCCUAAACAAUUUAGUUUAUUGCUCUCUCAUAUAAAUGUGAGAAACACGUUCAAUCUCUCUUGUCCACACACUUGGCAAAUUUACGUAAAUAUUGCAAUUUCUAUACGUUAUUAUAGAUAUAGGAAAAUUUUGAAAAAAUGACAUAUUUAAGAAAACUGUGUUAAGGUAUUGAGACUUU
This 224-nucleotide long non-coding RNA is filed under the name Vigna radiata. Its description in RNAcentral is "long non-coding RNA (VRAD_LNC012642)". The record is from RNAcentral. Lineage: Eukaryota; Viridiplantae; Streptophyta; Magnoliopsida; Fabales; Fabaceae.